This 677-nucleotide long non-coding RNA is filed under the name Equus asinus (donkey). RNAcentral's name for it is "lncRNA (ENSEASG00005024931.1)". The record is from RNAcentral. Lineage: Eukaryota; Metazoa; Chordata; Mammalia; Perissodactyla; Equidae.
GACAUGUGGAGCCAGAAGUACCUGGGGUUACGUUUCCCAGGGUGAGGGUUGGGGGCUUAGUCAAUAACUGCCUGGUGCUGGCGUGUGAAAACCAAGCUUCCUUGCCUCCAGUUGAAACAAACUGAGUUAUAAUUUAUACUUUGGAGCUCCCCUGAAGGAUCAUGCUGAAGCUGGGAGUUGGCUUGGAAUAGCAUCCUUGUUUGGCUUCUUCCCCUUCCCUGGCCUGCUUCUCACACUCCCUUCCUGGUUUCUCCAAGGAGCAUGAAAGACAGAAACUAAGACAGCAUUCAGGCUUUUGAAAUGAAGAUGUUGGGAUUCAAAAUUGGACAAUGUUGUCAGCAGGGAGACGCCUGGAAGCAGAAGAAUAUUUAUGGUGUGAAGUCUGAGAGGGCUAACAUGGGACUCAAUAACAAAUACCUGGAUGAGUGGCUUUGGAAGUAGAUACAGGAGCUGGAAAACGAGCAAGGGAGUAAAAGCAGUGGAUGCUCGGAGACCACAGGGGACACCUAACUCCUUAGAGCUUCCAACUUCCCUCAGCCACUGGUGGAAUCCCCAUGCAGAAUUAGGAAGAUCAGAGAGGAGGAAUUUCUCUCUUAACCUGUGGUGGUGUUUUGUAUUUGCUUUUUAAUGCUGGGAUCCCUCGGGCAUUCCUCUGGUAUCCGUGGGGUACUCUUGAG